GAUGAAGAACGUAGCGAAAUGCGAUAAGUAGUGUGAAUUGCAGAAUUCAGUGAAUCAUCGAAUCUUUGAACGCACAUUGCGCCCGCUAGUAUUCUGGCGGGCAUGCCUGUUCGAGCGUCAUUUCAACCAUCAAGCCUCAGGCUUGUGUUGGAGCCCUGCGGCUGCCGCAGCCUCCCAAAAACAGUGGCGGGCUCGCUAUCACACCGAGUGCAGUAGUUUACUCUUCGCUCAGGGCGUGUGGCGGGUGCUAGCCGUGAAACCCCCUAAUUCUCAAGGUUGACCUCGGAUCAGGUAGGAAUACCCGCUGAACUUAAGCAUAUCAAUAAGCGGAGGA
Molecule: unclassified non-coding RNA, 334 nt
Filed under: soil metagenome
Description: partial contains 5.8S ribosomal RNA, internal transcribed spacer 2, and large subunit ribosomal RNA
Rfam family: 5.8S ribosomal RNA (bases 1-120)
Source: RNAcentral